This is a long non-coding RNA of Erpetoichthys calabaricus (reedfish), 2294 nucleotides long. RefSeq lists it as uncharacterized. The record is from RefSeq and is a predicted model, not a curated record. The transcript is spliced from 3 exons. Lineage: Eukaryota; Metazoa; Chordata; Cladistia; Polypteriformes; Polypteridae.
AGAUUAAGAUUAGAAUCCUUACAAUAAAAACAAGUACUGUAUAUGCCAUUUGAAUUGAAUGCAUGUCUGUAUUGUAUUUGCUGUUUUUUGAAAUAUUUUAUUACUAAUAUUUUUGCUUUACUGUACUGUAGAAUGAUCAUGAUCUGCUUUCAAGUUGCUCAUUAUUGCUUAAUAGAAUCGGGUGAAAACAAUGGCUUACAUGAAUGUGAUUGGCUCUCCCACAAAAAGCAACACAAAGAGAAAUAAGACACCCACCGCACUGGCACUUUCUAACGACAAUGUUCAAAAGAAAAACAAACAAAAUUGUCAGCAAUUGCUCAAACAAAGUAAAUGCAGUCGUUUUUUUCUUUUUUUCCUAGAGGCCAAAGGACCUUAUAUCCCUGUGUCUAUUUUUUAUAGUAAAUAAACUGAAGCAUUGUGACCCUUUACGUGUUUUACAAAUGAAACAAGUGUAUUAAAUGUUACCUUGUGAUGGUCUUUUAAGUAUUUUAAUAAUACUUCUUUGCAUUCAUAUAGCGCUUUUCUCACUACAAAAAGCGCUCACCAAUUGCAGGUUAAGGGCCUCGCUCAAGGGCCCAACAGAGCAGAGUCCCUAUUGGCAUUUACAGGAUUCGAACCGGCAACCUUCUGAUAUAAUUUUUUCGUCUUCAUUAGGAGAAUACAACAAUGAUACUCUCGUGUCAAUUAAACCAAUUUAACGUGUAUAUGUCAAACAACAUAUUUCCACAUCCGCCACAGUAAGAACAGGAGUAGUAGUCAAUAUUUUAACAACUUUCUCUCAGUAAAAACACCAGGGGUUCGGGUCGUUGAUCCUCCACUUGUGAAAGGGUUUUUUUUGAAUUCCUCUAUUUAACAAUAUUUUCAGCUUGGACGGAUGGCGAGCAAAUCGAGCUGUCGAGGGAAGGUUGGGCCGUCGUAAUCGGGCAGGGGGCACACGUCCCUAAUUAUAUUGUGUAUGUAAAGAGUUUCACUGUAAAACGUAAUAAGCAUCAUAUUUGUGUGUUUGGAGACACUGGUGCCGUACUGAAUUUGUAUUGUACAAAAACAAACUACUGUGCAGCAUGCCUAAAUGUGUCUUUCCGUUUCUGAUCGCUAUACGGCACUACCAAUUUGAGACAAUUCGCUAUAAACAGUUUCAGCCAAUCAGCGCCUUCUAAACAUGCAGAAUGACAGUGUGAACCUUUAUUGUAGCGGCGCAGCAUCUUCGUUUCAGUCAGUCAUUGUCCAGUUAGACUAUUAGAUUAUUUACUGUUAAGUGCUGCUUGAGGUACUGUUUAAAGUACAACAGGUAGCCUACGUAGUUCUUAAAUUGGUACUGAAAUGCACACACAAGUCUCCUAAAUUAUUUAUUGAAAUGCCUACAUUUACAGUGUCCGUUUUAGGAAGUCGUAGUUUUUACUUUUUCCCGUUAUUAGGAAUUAUAAUUUCUCAGUGUCACAUAUUAUUUGUUACUACUCGCGAGUCCCGUAUCAUUGAGUUUCUGUUCAAAUAUUCUGUAUAAGAAAACCUUUUAAAAGGAGCGUUAAUUGAACUGACUAUAGCAGACUUGUCAUCUUCUUAAAAUGACUUUAUUGAUUUGAUAUUGACAAUUAAUCAUAAGGUCAAAAACUAAGGAGGAUAUGAGUUUGCAUGGACUGUGCUGUUUCUUUUUUUUCGUGACGUCGCGAGAGAGGAGAAGGGUCCGGCUGCAGGUCGCAGACUUGGCCUUCCAAGCCCCCGGCCUUCCACGCCUCCUGCCUUCCACAGUCCGCCCCACAACUGCCUAUAGUCUGUAGAAAGAGAAGAAGAGCUGCUGUACAGUUUUUCCAAUUCGAAAAAGAAAAGGAGCUGAAAACGUUUUCCCACACGGAACAAUGGCACAACAGAACCAGUCACAUUUCACCAUAAAGGCAGAGAAUAUAAAAACAACUUUGAUAACAUUGAUUAAAUAUCCAAAUGAAUCCAAGUGCCCUCUUUGUAAAAAGCACAGAGACUACAGUAUCCUGCUACGUCACCUUCAGAGUCAUGAAGGCCACAUUGUCAAGUAUGCAGGUUUCCAAAGGACCAUUUUGUGGUGUCUCUGUAUUUCAUCCUCGAGGCCCCCUUCAAUUUUAAUGAGUUGUGUCUCAACUUUAGUCCUCUCUUCUUUCAUUGUAGUAUUUGUAGAGGGAGGAUUAUAUCUGGUUGCUGGUUCCCAUUUUUGUCACCUUCUACAAUUUGUGUUAGAUAUUUGUGUUAUGUUUAACUUAUUUUAUUAUAUUUGUUUUUUUUUUAAUUUCAACAUACUGUCCAUAGUGGUUUUGAAGUUCCAGAAA